RNAcentral lists this ribosomal RNA (794 nucleotides) under uncultured archaeon. RNAcentral describes it as "bacterial SSU rRNA". It matches the Rfam family "Archaeal small subunit ribosomal RNA", at positions 1 to 776 of the family's 1478-position model. The record is from RNAcentral.
UUCCGGUUGAUCCUGCCGGACCUGACUGCUAUCGGAUCGAGACUAAGCCAUGCGAGUCUGCCAAUCAGAGCAUGUUGGUUGGCGGCGAACGGCUCAGUAACACGUAGUCAACCUGCCCUUGGGUCGAGAACAAUCUCGGGAAACUGAGGCUAAUUCUCGAUAAAUCAAGAUUCCUGGAAUGGGUUUUGGUCGAAAUGAUGUAACAGCAUCUUGUUAUUUUCGCCCAAGGAUGGGACUGCGGCCGAUCAGGCUGUUGGUGGGGUAAAGGCCCACCAAACCAGUAACCGGUACGGGCUUUGAGAGAAGGAGCCCGGAGAUGGACACUGAGACAAGGGUCCAGGUCCUACGGGGCGCAGCAGGCGCGAAACCUUCGCAAUGCGCGCAAGCGCGACGAGGUUAUUCCGAGUGAUUUCCGCUGAGGAAAUCUUUUCUUAGAUCUAAAAAGUCUGGGGAAUAAGGGGAGGGCAAGUCUGGUGUCAGCCGCCGCGGUAAUACCAGCUCCUCGAGUGGUCAGGGCGUUUAUUGGGCCUAAAGCAUCCGUAGCCGGCUCAUUAGGUCUCCUGUUAAAUCCAACGGCUCAACCGUUGGUCUGCAGGAGAUACCGAUGGGCUAGGAGGCGGGAGAGGCGGACGGUACUCCGAGGGUAGGGGUAAAAUCCUUUGAUCCCCGGAAGACCACCAGUGGCGAAGGCGGUCCACCAGAACGCGCUCGACGGUGAGGGAUGAAAGCUGGGGGAGCGAACCGGAUUAGAUACCCGGGCAGUCCCAGCUGUAAACGAUGCGAGCUAGGUGACA